GUUGCUUUAGCAACGGCCCGAAGGGCGAGGCAAAGCCGAGUCAUCCUGCACGACCCACCA
RNAcentral lists this small RNA (60 nucleotides) under Salmonella enterica subsp. enterica serovar Enteritidis. RNAcentral's name for it is "partial RtT sRNA". It matches the Rfam family "RtT RNA", at positions 67 to 130 of the family's 130-position model. From Rfam's summary of the family: This family represents a bacterial cis-regulatory element known as RtT RNA. The exact function of RtT is unknown although it is thought that it may be involved in changing the cellular response in relation to amino acid starvation. The record is from RNAcentral. Lineage: Bacteria; Pseudomonadati; Pseudomonadota; Gammaproteobacteria; Enterobacterales; Enterobacteriaceae.